AGUGAACGCUGGCGGUAGGCCUAACACAUGCAAGUCGAACGGCCGCACAGUAAGAGCUUGCUCUUACGGGUGGCGAGUGGCGGACGGGUGAGGAAUACAUCGGAAUCUACUUUUUCGUGGGGGAUAACGUAGGGAAACUUACGCUAAUACCGCAUACGACCUACGGGUGAAAGCAGGGGAUCUUCGGACCUUGCGCGAUUGAAUGAGCCGAUGUCGGAUUAGCUAGUUGGCGGGGUAAAGGCCCACCAAGGCGACGAUCCGUAGCUGGUCUGAGAGGAUGAUCAGCCACACUGGAACUGAGACACGGUCCAGACUCCUACGGGAGGCAGCAGUGGGGAAUAUUGGACAAUGGGCGAAAGCCUGAUCCAGCCAUACCGCGUGGGUGAAGAAGGCCUUCGGGUCGUAAAGCCCUUUUGUUGGGAAAGAAAAGCAGCAGGUUAAUACCCCGCUGUUCUGACGGUACCCAAAGAAUAAGCACCGGCUAACUUCGUG
RNAcentral lists this ribosomal RNA (492 nucleotides) under uncultured bacterium. RNAcentral describes it as "partial 16S ribosomal RNA". It matches the Rfam family "Bacterial small subunit ribosomal RNA", at positions 29 to 507 of the family's 1533-position model. The record is from RNAcentral.